CCAAUAUUCUUGGCAAGUGGUGUUGACACAAUACAGUACUUUGUGAUGACUAUAGGAUAAGGAUUAAAGGACUGGAAGAGAACUACAGCUGGCAUGGGAUUGAGAUAGUACCUCAAAUCUAAAUCACAUCUACAUGGGUGUUUUUUCUUGACAAAUAUUAAUACCAUAUUCAGGAUGUAGCUCAGGAUUAAAGGACUGGAAGAAGACUACAUCUGGCAUGGGGUCGAGAUAAUACCUCAAAUCUAAAUACCAUAUUCAUGAUGUAGCUUAUGUAUGCUGGAAUAUGUAAACUGUACUUGAGAUAUGUACCAGACCAUUGGAGAUUGUAUAACACAGAGUAAAGAUAAUGUUCUAUCUGAAGACUGAUGUGUUUAUAAACUUUCACUUUAUCGCAGAACUUAUCAACACAUAUUCAAUAAUAUUGCACUAAGUUCCUGUGUGAGGUAUUAUUAAAAUAGAACAUGGGAAAAACCAGGUUAUUAAAUGAUCCGCUACCCUAUGUCAUAACAUUUUUAAGGUGAAAACAGGAGAGACAUACCGUCAUUUGUAAGCUUAACAUAAGUCAGAGAGAGUCUUGUGUAAUAGAUGGUGGUCUAAAUAUAAUUUUCUGUUUUGUUUGAUUAUAAAUACAGAUUUAUAAAAAGAACAGAUCGUGACCCAUUAGGAGUUAAUUUCAAAUCUUAACAGAGUAAAAUAGAUGAUUAUCAUAUGUUUCAAUGAACUUAUUCUAACUAGAUAAAAACAGUAUUAAUGAUUUUCCAAUAUUAGAAUUUGAUGUUUAUGACUUUAUCUUUUGAUGGUUAUCAACUAUUAAUUAAGGUUUUUAUUUUUUGCUUUGUUAAUGGACAUUGCUUUUGAAAGGAUCAUGAUAUUCCCUGCUAAGUAAAGUAAUGAGAUUAAAUCUUACCUUAAGAAUAAACUUCAUUGUGUUCAUUUUGUUAAUUUUUUUCAAUAAUAUGUUUUGGGUAAACCUAGCAGGAAAUUGCAGAUGUUAAUUUAUGGA
Molecule: long non-coding RNA, 1003 nt
Organism: Patella vulgata (common limpet)
Lineage: Eukaryota; Metazoa; Mollusca; Gastropoda; Patellidae
Exons: 3
Source: RefSeq, a predicted model, not a curated record